This 563-nucleotide long non-coding RNA is filed under the name Dromaius novaehollandiae (emu). RNAcentral's name for it is "lncRNA (ENSDNVG00000002779.1)". Lineage: Eukaryota; Metazoa; Chordata; Aves; Casuariiformes; Dromaiidae. The record is from RNAcentral.
UCCGAACCGCAGCCUCCUCCCGAACUCYGGAUGAGCUCAUUUUGGCAGAGAACGUUGCUAACCUGCUGUCUUGGAUUUUCAUUUUUUGCAGCACAUCUCCGGUCUGUUUUCUAAGGGGAAAAUAAAGGCAGUGAAAUGAGAAGGUUGGUGGGAGGCCGAUCWGUCUCUCCAGUCCAGGCUAGUCAAGGUUUAGAAAGACUUGGAGACUGUGAACUUCCCAGGCAGAUCUAGGACAGCGUCAGAGCUUUGAGACUUGAGCAUCGCACAGAAGUGAACUUUGUCGCUGCGKAAAGGAGCAGCUUUCCUCCUCCAGGCAGACCGGGCUGGCACCUCUCGGAGGGGUGUUGGACAGUGGUUUUGUGGCUGUUGCUGCCUGCAAGGGAGAGGUCACCGAUGUGUUUCUUAAGCUCAAAAGAUGUAAAGCAGAAGUUAUCGUGGUACAGGACUGACCUUCACUGAGAGAUCCCUGAAGAGAGCAUUUACAUAACGGCUGCUCUUGGCUGCUGCUCCUGGCUGGACUCAUUAUUAUUUGCUCCUUACCUCCCUGAUCCAUGCAUUUCCUA